AUUGAACGCUGGCGGCGUGCUUAACACAUGCAAGUCGAUCGGUAACAGGUGUAGCAAUACAUGCUGACGAGAGGCGGACGGGUGAGUAAUGCUUGGGAAUCUGCCUAUUAGUGGGGGACAACCCGGGGAAACUCGGGCUAAUACCGCAUACGCUCUACGGAGGAAAGCCGGGGACCGCAAGGCCUGGCGCUAAUAGAUGAGCCCAAGUCGGAUUAGCUAGUUGGUAGGGUAACGGCCUACCAAGGCGACAAUCCGUAGCUGGUCUGAGAGGACGACCAGCCACACCGGAACUGAGACACGGUCCGGACGUCCUACGGGAGGCAGCAGUGAGGAAUAUUGGACAAUGGGGGCAACCCUGNUCCAGCGACGCCGCGUGGGUGAAGAAGGCCUGCGGGUUGUAAAGCCCUUUCGGUGGGGAAGAAAAGUCUCGACCUAAUACGUCGGGACCUUAGACGUAACCCACUAAAGAAGCACCGGCUAACUCUGUCGCC
This 491-nucleotide ribosomal RNA is filed under the name uncultured bacterium. Its description in RNAcentral is "bacterial SSU rRNA". It matches the Rfam family "Bacterial small subunit ribosomal RNA", at positions 29 to 509 of the family's 1533-position model. The record is from RNAcentral.